RNAcentral lists this ribosomal RNA (570 nucleotides) under Paenibacillus yonginensis. RNAcentral describes it as "bacterial SSU rRNA". It matches the Rfam family "Bacterial small subunit ribosomal RNA", at positions 76 to 634 of the family's 1533-position model. The record is from RNAcentral. Lineage: Bacteria; Bacillati; Bacillota; Bacilli; Caryophanales; Paenibacillaceae.
GCUCCCGAGUAUACGUUAGCGGCGGACGGGUGAGUAACACGUAGGCAACCUGCCUGCAAGACUGGGAUAACUACCGGAAACGGUAGCUAAUACCGGAUACGCAAGAGAGUCGCAUGAUUUUCUUGGGAAAGACGGAGCAAUCUGUCACUUGCGGAUGGGCCUGCGGCGCAUUAGCUAGUUGGUGAGGUAACGGCUCACCAAGGCGACGAUGCGUAGCCGACCUGAGAGGGUGAACGGCCACACUGGGACUGAGACACGGCCCAGACUCCUACGGGAGGCAGCAGUAGGGAAUCUUCCGCAAUGGACGAAAGUCUGACGGAGCAACGCCGCGUGAGUGAUGAAGGUUUUCGGAUCGUAAAGCUCUGUUGCCAGGGAAGAACGUCGGGUAGAGUAACUGCUAUCCGAGUGACGGUACCUGAGAAGAAAGCCCCGGCUAACUACGUGCCAGCAGCCGCGGUAAUACGUAGGGGGCAAGCGUUGUCCGGAAUUAUUGGGCGUAAAGCGCGCGCAGGCGGCCAUUUAAGUCUGGUGUUUAAUCCCGGGGCUCAACUCCGGGUCGCAUCGGAAACU